This is a long non-coding RNA of Trichoplusia ni (cabbage looper), 1074 nucleotides long. RefSeq lists it as uncharacterized. The record is from RefSeq and is a predicted model, not a curated record. The transcript is spliced from 7 exons. NCBI's taxonomy places the organism in Eukaryota, Metazoa, Arthropoda, Insecta, Lepidoptera, Noctuidae.
AUGCAUGGAGCAUGAAGGUGACAACAACAUGCAAACAGCUCAGCGACCUAGUAUAGGUCUUCAUAGGAUCAGUCUUGCAGUGAAAGCAGAGUAAGAAACAAUGCCAGGAAGACAGUUAACUUUGCAGUAAUACUGAGGUAACAAUUAACAAUCCUAGUUGUUUAUAAAUUGCUGUUACUGCAACUGGUUGUGAAGAUAGAAUCUGUAUGUGGUGGUCUCCAAAUGCUUAGGUUUCCCGAUUAUAAGAAUUUUAAUAAGAAAGAAACAAGUCUGAUUCUACAAAUUGUUAUAUAAAUGCGACAUAGGUGGUUCGGUUGAGUCUGUGCAAGAUUUCAGGCAUUUAAAAUAUCCCUGCAACAUGGAGGUGAGAAAAUCAUAUUCUCAGAAUGAUAAUUCAAGUCUUUAAAUGAAAGCCAUCAGUUGUUGUAAGCAGAGCAAGAACUAAACGCAAGAGAAGCGUGAAACUGUUUCCAGAUUGUGAAAAUGUCCGACUCAGGAAAUUGCUAAAAUACUAUGGGGUUACAAUUGUAUCUUCACGAGACUCCUGACUUGGAAUAUGGCACAUAUCAAUGGUUACCCUGAUUUUGGCCUAACAAUAACAGCUGAGGAGUUGUACGAGAUGAGGAAAUAAUUUGGAAACGCUGAACACCGAACUGACGAACGGAUUGAUCAUCAGAAUCAGCAGGAAAUUUUGGAGCAGUUACCGAGCCUCGUCGAUGGCCGCCGGCUGGUAUCUACGAAUCGCGGAGGUCACGUUUAAUAGAUCAGGUCAAAAGUUCGCAUCACUAUGUACGUGUAUGUAUGUGUAUAACUUCCCGUUAAAGGUCCAUUUACCAACAAUUUUAUUUUUCAUAAUAUUUUUAUCUGUCUUUUCGUAAAUGUAUAUUAACAAACCUAAAACUUUAAUAUAUUUUCACGAAAUGGUUUGUCGACAAAGUAUUCACUGAACAUUUCAAUAAUUUUAAAGGUGUAGUAUUUCUGAAUUUCUUUACUAUUUAUUAGAAGGCGUCACACACAAAAUCGAUGCAGCAUACAAAGUAAAAAACACAUAAAAACUUUUUUUUUUAAAUCUAA